GCUGCAGCAGCGCGCGCCGCUCCUAUCCCGCGGCAGCCCAGCAGGUGGCGCUCGCCUCCCCCGCCCCCGUCUCCACCGCAGACAGCCGUGACGUCAGCUGCUCGACGCCAUUUGAAUGACUCUCGCAACGGAGAAACCGGACUUGUGUGGCUCGCAGCAUAACUAUUUGGCGUUGCUUCUUCAGUGGCUGUGGCUCGGCCCCUGGCUCGGCAACCUCCAUGUGUCGCAGGUCCCUGAAGCCCACACAGGAGCCGAAAGAUCACCUCGGAGGGGAUCAACUGAACAAGGCUGGAUGGAGGAACGGUGAGAACAGGCAGGAGGUGGGAAAACAGCAUCAGAGGGUUCCUGCCUGCUGCCAUGCCCUGCCGCCCCCAUCUGCCCCCCGUCCGGCACAGGGGUUGAUGCUUGGUAAGUGCAUAGAUGAUACUAGCAACAGCAUCAUCAUCAUGCUACUCACAACAAGUAAAUGUACUGAGUACUUAAUUCAGUGCUAA
This 494-nucleotide long non-coding RNA is filed under the name Sus scrofa (pig). Its description in RNAcentral is "lncRNA (ENSSSCG00060034720.1, ENSSSCG00065056766.1)". The record is from RNAcentral. Lineage: Eukaryota; Metazoa; Chordata; Mammalia; Artiodactyla; Suidae.